This is a non-coding RNA of Salvelinus sp. IW2-2015, 180 nucleotides long. NCBI's taxonomy places the organism in Eukaryota, Metazoa, Chordata, Actinopteri, Salmoniformes, Salmonidae. The record is from RefSeq and is a predicted model, not a curated record.
CUCAACAUGGCAUCACUUCAGGUCUAACUCCUCAACAUGGCAUCACUUCAGGUCUAAACUCCUCAACAUGGCAUCACUUCAGGUCUAACUCCUCAACAUGGCAUCACUUCAGGUCUAACUCCUCAACAUGCAUCACUUCAGGCUAACUCCCCAACAUGCAUCACUUCAGUCUAACUCCUC